UAACCAAACGAAAGUUUGGCUAAUACCGCGUAAGCUCCAAGGAGGAAAGUAGGGGACCUAAAUAAGGCCUUACGCUAUUUGAUCGGCCGAUGUCGGAUUAGCUAGUUGGUGGGGUAAUGGCUCACCAAGGCAAUGAUCCGUAGCGGGUCUGAGAGGACGACCCGCCACACUGGGACUGAGACACGGCCCAG
This 191-nucleotide ribosomal RNA is filed under the name uncultured Neisseriales bacterium. RNAcentral's name for it is "partial 16S ribosomal RNA". It matches the Rfam family "Bacterial small subunit ribosomal RNA", at positions 144 to 334 of the family's 1533-position model. Lineage: Bacteria; Pseudomonadati; Pseudomonadota; Betaproteobacteria; Neisseriales. The record is from RNAcentral.